RNAcentral lists this ribosomal RNA (465 nucleotides) under uncultured Nitrososphaerota archaeon. RNAcentral describes it as "bacterial SSU rRNA". It matches the Rfam family "Archaeal small subunit ribosomal RNA", at positions 340 to 804 of the family's 1478-position model. The record is from RNAcentral. Lineage: Archaea; Thermoproteati; Nitrososphaerota.
CGAGAAACCUUUGCAAUGUGCGCAAGCACGACAAGGUUAAUCCGAGUGAUUCCUGCUAAAGGAAUCUUUUGUUAGUUGUAAAACCACUGAUGAAUAAGGGGUGGGCAAGUUCUGGUGUCAGCCGCCGCGGUAAAACCAGCACCUCAAGUGGUCAGGAGGAUUAUUGGGCCUAAAGCAUCCGUAGCCUGUCCUGUAAGUUUCCGGUUAAAUCCAUAUGCUCAACAUAUGGGCUGCCGGGAAUACUGCACAGCUAGGGAGUGGGAGAGGUAGACGGUACUCGGUAGGAAGGGGUAAAAUCCUUUGAUCUAUUGAUGACCACCUGUGGCGGAAGGCGGUCUACCAGAACACGUCCGACGGUGAGGGGAUGAAAGCUGGGGGAGCAAACCGGAUUAGAUACCCGGGUAGUCCCAGCUGUAACUAUGCAAAACUCGGUGAUGCAUUGGCUUGUAGCCAGUGCAGUGCCGC